This is a non-coding RNA of Triticum aestivum (bread wheat), 134 nucleotides long. NCBI's taxonomy places the organism in Eukaryota, Viridiplantae, Streptophyta, Magnoliopsida, Poales, Poaceae. The record is from Rfam.
AUAGUACUCCUUCCGUCCUAAAAUUCUUGUUUUAAAUUCGUCUAGAUACGGAUGUAUUUAAUACUAAAACGUGACUUAUACAUCCGUGUUUAGACAAAUCUAAGACAAGAAUUUUGGGACGGAGGGAGUACGAG